Molecule: unclassified non-coding RNA, 260 nt
Filed under: Hevea brasiliensis (rubber tree)
Lineage: Eukaryota; Viridiplantae; Streptophyta; Magnoliopsida; Malpighiales; Euphorbiaceae
Source: RNAcentral
AGUUGAUUAAAACGUGUCCAUGCCCAUAUUCCAUCACUUUCUCCCAUUCUCUCAAUGCAUUCAAGACGAAAACCAAAGAGUGCAUUUAUGUCAGCAGCUUCAUGGUUUCCACGAAUCAGAUGAACAUUCUCAGGAUGCUCAAUCUUAAGAGCAAGAAGCAAAGUUAUAGUCUCUAAACUGUGCUGCCCUCGAUCAACAUAGUCUCCCAAAAACAAAUAGUCAAUGUACGUGAUGUCUCCUGCAGUGGAAGGAAAUCCAUA